ACACAGCGGAUCCAUCAAGAUAUAUACCAAUGCCUACCAACAAUAUAUAAAAUCAUCACACCAUGUCUCGUAUCUACAAAUAUUGCGAGACAAAUAACAUAAUGACAGCACAGCACAAAGUAUGUUUCAAGAAUGCACAAGGAUCGAAGGAACUGCUGAUAAUAGAUUCCAACAUAAGUAUGCCUGUCAUAAGCGAAAAAUCUGGAAAUGACUGUAUAGAUUCUAGAAGAGUAUCACCUAGGGCUUUAAAUAAUUUAUCUGAUCUUUUAACUACUGUCAACUUUGAUACUUUGUAUAUGCAUUCAGAUGUUGAUGAUUGUUUCAGAUCAUUUAUGAAUUUGUUUGAAUAUUACUUAGAAAGAUCUUCACCAAUGUGAAGCGUUCACACAAUUUUUGCAAAGGUCGAGUAAAUGAUGAAAUCAAAAAAUCUAGUAGUGAUUUGAAAAAAAUUGAAUUGGCUCAAUAAAGGUUUGGGAACAUAUGAAUCAUAUAAAUUUAUAAUAAUGCGAAGAGAGACAUCAGAUAUCUAUUCAAACAAACAAAAUCAUAUUUCUAGCAAAGUGUUCUGAAUUCAUCAAUCAAUAAAAAUAAAACAGUCGGGAAUAUUGUUAAUGAGGAAUCUGGAAGAAAAAAAAAACAUAAUAUCAGUAUAAGCCUGAAUUACGAAGGUACCAUAUAUAAUAAACCUACAGAUGUUGCGAAUUUGUUUGUUGAUCAUUUCCCUUCUGUGGCUGACAUUAAUAUUCGAAAUUAUUUCGGUCUACAAGCUGGAGCACUUUGGAAUCCGUGGAUUGAUCUUGAAGUGGAUUGAGAGCUUCUUAACUGACAAAUCGUUUGUGAUAAAAGUUGGUGCUGCCAGAUCGGAACCAAGAUGUGUGCUCAGUAGCGUUCCUCAGGGCUCAGUUGCUGUUGCUGUUGCUGGUGUAUGUGAGCGAUCCAGCUGUUGAGUUCAAGUCGGACAGUGCCUCAUUUCCGAUGAUAUCAAAUUUAUCAAUUGCCCUCUCAACAACUAUAAAACCCUGCAGGAAGACUUGGACAGGAUCAUUUGUUGGUGCGACAAAUGGUUGAUUCCCCUGAACCCUUCAAAGUGCCGAAUACUAUAUUUGGGUAAAAACAAUCCAGGUUUGACUUAUUAUAUUGACGGCGUUGAAGUUGUUGGAUGUUCAUCUCAUGUGGACCUAGGUGUGGUGUUUUCAAGUGAUCUUCCGUGGACUGAACAUGUAUUGCACAUCACAAAAAAGGUCAAACAUCUUAUAUAUAUUGUCCAGAACGUUUUUCGUGGCAAUAAUGUGGCGGCUAUUUCCCAAAUAUAUAUAUGUUAUAUUCGACCAAUACUUGAAUUUGCCGGUCUGGUUUGGUAUCCGUGGUUGGCGGGUGAUGCUGCAUUACUGGAGAACUUACAGCGUUGUGUCACACGCAUUCCCUUUGGAUGGAAUCGCCCUUGUUAUCAGGAACGGCUACGAAUAAUGGAUCUUCCUUCCUUGGCUGAUCGUCGUUUGAGGGGAGACCUGAUAGUUACAUAUCGAGCAUUGCACGGCUUAUUCGGCGUCACCUGUAUGAGUUGAAUUCGAAUCAACUUCGUGGACAUGGAUACAAGUUAAAUAGAGAAGUAUUUCGAACGAGGUGCCGAGAUAAUUUCCUUUGUAAUCGGGUGUUCAACCAUUGGAACGGCCAGCCCAGCGAAAUAUUCCUAUUAUCAUUUCAACAUUUGGAAUAGUACCCAAAAAAAUUCAAGAAAAAUAUCAAGCAACUGGGACUUAGUGAUUCUAUAUAAUAUAAUGCAAAAAGCUGUUCUUUCAGGUACUGCAAGGACGGUGAGAAAAUUCCUAGGAAGCGACGGACAGGUUCAAGGAUCACAUGUAAGGGGACCAGAAGUUCGACGAAAACCAGAGGGACCACAAGGACCGGACACGACCGAGCACUUCCCUUCUGAUAUUUUAAAUAUCUGGGAUUGAGUGAAUGUUCCUUUUAGCGGGGUGUGAGAAGCCGACGGCGAGGAGAAAUCCUACGCGUAUGUCAGGUACUGCAAGGACGGUGAGAAAAUCCCUAGGAAGCGACGAAAAGGUCCAAGGAUCACAUGUAAGGGGACCAGAAGUUCGACGAAAACCAGAGGGGCCACAAGGGCCGAUCACGACCGAGAGUGAAUGUUCCUCUUAGCGGUACUGCAAGGACGGUGAGAAAAUCCCUAGGAAGCGACGAAAAGGUCCAAGGAUCACAUGUAAGGGGACCAGAAGUUCGACGAAAACCAGAGGGGCCACAAGGGCCGAUCACGACCGAGAGUGAAUGUUCCUCUUAGCGGUGAGUGAGAAGUCGACGGCGAGGAGAUAUCCUACGCGUAUAGGCUUAAGUCUGAAAUAAUAAUAAUUAUAUAAUGAACGAUUCUGUUAUGUGACAUGAAUACUUAUCUAUAAAUCUAAAAUAUAAGACCGCUUCAAUUCGUCAGAGAAAUUCCAGUUUCCUUGUUUUUGCACGAAAUAUAAUACCCCUGGAUGGGAUGAACAGAAGUUCACACCAUCUAUUUUCAAUGAGAUACCCUUCGUAGAUUCCAUCACAUUUUAUAUUUAUACUCAGCCGACAGCUACCAACAGCGACUCGUACGUAUCAAGUUUAAGUAAUAUCAAGUAGCUUGAUAUCAAGUCAAGCAAUAAAUAUCUCAAAU
Molecule: long non-coding RNA, 2659 nt
Organism: Harmonia axyridis
Lineage: Eukaryota; Metazoa; Arthropoda; Insecta; Coleoptera; Coccinellidae
Exons: 3
Source: RefSeq, a predicted model, not a curated record